Molecule: transfer RNA, 74 nt
Filed under: Nitrososphaerales archaeon
Lineage: Archaea; Thermoproteati; Nitrososphaerota; Nitrososphaeria; Nitrososphaerales
Description: tRNA-Pro
Rfam family: tRNA
About the family: Transfer RNA (tRNA) molecules are approximately 80 nucleotides in length.
Source: RNAcentral
GGGGUCGUGGCCUAGCAUGGUAUGGCACUGGCCUCGGGCGCCAGAGGUCGUGGGUUCAAAUCCCACCGACCCCA